AACGCGAAGAACCUUACCUGGGCUCGAACGGCUUUGGCAAACUCGUGGAAACAUGGGUCCUCCCGCAAGGGACCGGAGUCGAGGUGCUGCAUGGCUGUCGUCAGCUCGUGUCGUGAGAUGUUGGGUUAAGUCCCGCAACGAGCGCAACCCUUGUCCUGUUUUGGCAUGCCGCAAGGCGCAACUAUCAGGAGACCGCCAGCGAUAAGUUGGAGGAAGGUGGGGAUGACGUCAAGUCAUCAUGGCCUUUAUGUCCAGGGCCACACACGUGCUACAAUGGGCGGUACAAAGCGCUGCGAACCCGCGAGGGGAAGCUAAUCGCAAAAAACCGUCCUCAGUUCGGAUCGCAGGCUGCAAUUCGCCUGCGUGAAGCUGGAAUCGCUAGUAAUGCCGUAUCAGAACGACGGCGUGAAUACGUUCCCGGGCCUUGUACACACCGCGUGUCU
Molecule: ribosomal RNA, 443 nt
Filed under: uncultured bacterium
Lineage: Bacteria
Description: bacterial SSU rRNA
Rfam family: Bacterial small subunit ribosomal RNA
Source: RNAcentral